Molecule: non-coding RNA, 112 nt
Organism: Acanthosepion pharaonis
Lineage: Eukaryota; Metazoa; Mollusca; Cephalopoda; Sepiida; Sepiidae
Source: the annotation of a GenBank genome assembly
UUACGGCCAUAUCAAGUUGAAAGACCGGUUCCUGUACGAUCACCGAAGUUAAGCAACGUUAAGCGUCGUCAGAACUUAGAUGGGUGACCGGUUGGGAAUACCAGGUGCUGUA